CCCCACCUCCUCACAUUAUGCCUACACGAACACAGACACAUGCAGGUGCCUUUGCAGAAACAAAGUCAGGGUUCUUCAAGUCACAAAGGGAAGGGCAGGAACAACUCUUGCCUCUCAGUCCCACACAAGGCAGCUGUCUCACACUAUAGAAAAAAAUAUUCAUGAACAAAUUCAUAUCCAUCACAGUGAGGGGUCACACCUUAAACAGCCCAUCGCAUGCUCAAUACAUCCAAUGCAAAGAAACCCCAUAGCACAGCUGUGUCCACUGUUCCGCCCAACACCCAACACACAUUAGGUCCUCCAAGCUCUCACCUUUACAAGCUGUGAGGGACACAUCAGAGCCCUGGGCACUGUCACUGCCUGGGGUAGAACAAAAACAGAACCUGGUCAGAUCCCACAGAAGAUGUGGCUAGAGGAGGAAUUGUGAGGUGGGUGGGCUCCCCCAUGGGCUCCCAAACACAAUAUCCCAAGGACCUCAGGCAUCAGCCUCCUUCAUACUUACUUGCAGCCUGAGUGUAACUCCCUCCUUUUCUAUCUGUGAGAAGAAAAUGUCCUGUGAGAUACCAGAAAGGAGCCAGGGCCUUAAGGUCCUAGAGGAACCUCCUAGUCUUGGACCCCAGAGAAGUUUCCAGAAAUGUGUGACUGCAGACCCAGGGCGGGAUCAGGAAACAUGAAGAAAGCAGGUGUGGGUCCUGGACCAAUAGCCCUCCUGAGGUCUGUCCUCAGGGACCUUCCCCUGUGACUUGUGACUGCUGGGAUCAGGUCCCAUCACCGCCGUAAUCAAGGUGAUAAAUCUGUCCUUCAUUUUAACAGGUGCUUUACAAAAGAGUAAGUGCUGGCACACAGGGCCCAGGCUGGGUAGGCCCAUGAGUGUGGAUGGUGCUUCCCAGUAACCAGGCAGGACACACUUCUAACUGGGGCUUGAAACCCUCAGUGGGACAAGAAAUCUCAGACCCCACUCCUCAUCCAUUCCUUACCUGAGUUCUUCUUCCUGCACAUCACAGCAGAAACCACAGCUCCAGUGACUACAGCUCCAAGGAGAACCAGGCCAGCAACGAUACCCACGAUGGGGAUGGUGGGCUGAGAAGACUGCUCUGGGAAAAAAGGGGAAGAAGGCACCACCACAGCUGCCCACUUCUGGAAGGUUCCAUCCCCUGCAGGCCUGGUCUCU
Long non-coding RNA from Homo sapiens (human), 1171 nucleotides. RefSeq lists it as uncharacterized. The record is from RefSeq and is a predicted model, not a curated record. The transcript has 3 exons. Lineage: Eukaryota; Metazoa; Chordata; Mammalia; Primates; Hominidae.